CCAGUCGGCCGGGCGGCCGCUCUUCCGCGAGGGAGGGAGGAAAGUCCGGGCUCCAGGGAGAAACGGUGGCGGCUAACGGCCGCCGGGGGUGACCCCAGGGAAAGUGCCACAGAAAGCAAACCGCCGGGGCAUGCUCCGGUCAGGGUGAAAGGGUGCGGUAAGAGCGCACCGCGUUGCCGGCAACGGGAACGGCAGGGCAAACCCCACCGGGAGCAAAACCGAAUAGGGACGGCGCGCACCGGGCAACCGGUGCAGGGAUCUCCUCCCGGCCGUCCGGGUUGGUUGCACGAGGCACGGCGCGAGCCGGGCCCCAGAGGAAUGGCCGCCACGUCGGCGUUGAAAGACGCAGGCCAUACAGAACCCGGCUUACAGGCCGACUGGAUUC
This 385-nucleotide RNase P RNA is filed under the name Rhizobiales bacterium PAR1. Its description in RNAcentral is "Bacterial RNase P class A". It matches the Rfam family "Bacterial RNase P class A". From Rfam's summary of the family: Ribonuclease P (RNase P) is a ubiquitous endoribonuclease, found in archaea, bacteria and eukarya as well as chloroplasts and mitochondria. Its best characterised activity is the generation of mature 5'-ends of tRNAs by cleaving the 5'-leader elements of precursor-tRNAs. The record is from Rfam by way of RNAcentral. Lineage: Bacteria; Pseudomonadati; Pseudomonadota; Alphaproteobacteria; Hyphomicrobiales.